CCGGCGCCGGUGUGUAUGGAGUAAGGCAGGGAUAGGAAGCUACAUCUUAUCUCUGCUUCUCGCUCCUGAUGAAUUCCGCAGGGGAGCAGCAUAGAGUGCAGCCAGCAACUCCCAGACUGUAGAGACAACCUUCAGAUUAGGUAAGUGAGGCAUGGGUGGCAGUUUGCAGAUCAGGUAAGUGAGGCAUGGGGUGGGGUAGCCUACAGAUCAGGUAAGUGAGGCAUGGGAGGCAGGGGUGAAGCCUACAGAUCAGGUAAGGGAGGCAUGUGGGAGGGCAGCCUGCAGAUCAGGUAAGUGAGGCAUGGGGGGCAGCUUACAGAUCAGGUAAGUGAGGUGGGGGGCAGCCUACAGAUUAGGUAAGUGAGGCAUGCAGGGCAGUUUACAGUUCAGGUAAGUGAGGUAUGGGGGG
Molecule: non-coding RNA, 409 nt
Organism: Pelobates cultripes (western spadefoot toad)
Lineage: Eukaryota; Metazoa; Chordata; Amphibia; Anura; Pelobatidae
Source: the annotation of a GenBank genome assembly